RNAcentral lists this ribosomal RNA (1297 nucleotides) under metagenome. Its description in RNAcentral is "bacterial LSU rRNA". It matches the Rfam family "Bacterial large subunit ribosomal RNA", at positions 1636 to 2925 of the family's 2925-position model. The record is from RNAcentral.
ACACGACCGUACCGCAAACCGACACUGGUGCGCGAGAUGAGUAUUCUAAGGCGCUUGAGAGAACUCAGGAGAAGGAACUCGGCAAAUUGACACCGUAACUUCGGAAGAAGGUGUGCCUUUAGUAGGUGAACCUGUACAAGGGGAGCCCAAUGAGGUUGCAAAAAAUCGGUGGCUGCGACUGUUUAAUAAAAACACAGCACUCUGCAAACACGAAAGUGGACGUAUAGGGUGUGACGCCUGCCCGGUGCUGGAAGAUUAAAUGAUGGGGUGCAAGCUCUUGAUUGAAGUCCCAGUAAACGGCGACCGUAACUAUAACGGUCCUAAGGUAGCGAAAUUCCUUGUCGGGUAAGUUCCGACCUGCACGAAUGGCGUAACGAUGGCCACACUGUCUCCUCCUGAGACUCAGCGAAGUUGAAAUGUUUGUGAUGAUGCAAUCUCCCCGCGGAAAGACGGAAAGACCCCAUGAACCUUUACUGUAGCUUUGUAUUGGACUUUGAACAGAUCUGUGUAGGAUAGGUGGGAGGCUUUGAAGUGUGGUCGCUAGAUCGCAUGGAGCCAACGUUGAAAUACCACCCUGGUGUGUUUGAGGUUCUAACCUAGGCCCGUAAUCCGGGUCGGGGACAGUGCAUGGUAGGCAGUUUGACUGGGGCGGUCUCCUCCCAAAGCGUAACGGAGGAGUUCGAAGGUACGCUAGGUACGGUCGGACAUCGUGCUAAUAGUGCAAUGGCAUAAGCGUGCUUAACUGCGAGACUGACAAGUCGAGCAGAUGCGAAAGCAGAACAUAGUGAUCCGGUGGUUCUGUAUGGAAGGGCCAUCGCUCAACGGAUAAAAGGUACUCUGGGGAUAACAGGCUGAUACCGCCCAAGAGUUCAUAUCGACGGCGGUGUUUGGCACCUCGAUGUCGGCUCAUCUCAUCCUGGGGCUGUAGCCGGUCCCAAGGGUAUGGCUGUUCGCCAUUUAAAGAGGUACGUGAGCUGGGUUUAAAACGUCGUGAGACAGUUUGGUCCCUAUCUUCCGUGGGCGCUGCAGAUUUGAGGAAGCCUGCUCCUAGUACGAGAGGACCGGAGUGGACACACCUCUGGUGUAUCGGUUGUCACGCCAGUGGCAUUGCCGAGUAGCUAUGUGUGGAAGAGAUAACCGCUGAAAGCAUCUAAGCGGGAAACUCGUUUCAAGAUGAGAUCUGCCGGGGCCUUGAGCCCCCUAAAGAGUCGUUCAAGACCAGGACGUUGAUAGGUCGGGUGUGGAAGCGCAGUAAUGCGUUAAGCUAACCGAUACUAAUUGCUCGUGCGGCUUGACC